This 620-nucleotide unclassified non-coding RNA is filed under the name Salicornia persica. Its description in RNAcentral is "partial contains external transcribed spacer and small subunit ribosomal RNA". The stretch from base 533 to 620 matches the Rfam family "Eukaryotic small subunit ribosomal RNA", at positions 1 to 87 of the family's 1831-position model. The record is from RNAcentral. Lineage: Eukaryota; Viridiplantae; Streptophyta; Magnoliopsida; Caryophyllales; Amaranthaceae.
GCGGUGCUGAUUAGGGGUUGUUCUUACUCUCCCUUGCAAUUAUUUUGUACUUGUAGGGGUGCAUGUAGGCACGGUCCUUGUGAUGCGGUACGUGAUGGUGUGUGAGUGGUAUUUGGUUUGUGUGGUUGGCGGGCUCUUUGCUUGUGCAUUGGACCGUUCACCAACAUACCUUUUCAUUGUAUGCUGCAAGUGCACCAUUUUGCCUUGGGCGACGUGUGGUCCCUAUGUUGGAUUCCGAUUAACGGUAUUGUUGUUGUCCCUUUAAAGAGUGAUAUUCGCUCUACGUCCGUAAAAGGAGGUCGAGCGGACCAUGAAACUUGACUCGUUAUCCUCCUGUUUUGUGAAAACAAGCAUGAUAGGGUUGGAUUAUGAUCUCAAGUUGGGCCCUAGGAUACAGAAAGUUGUGUGGGAGUUGAUGUAAAAACGUCGCAAACCCAAAGCGUUGGUACGCUAAUGAUGGAUGACAUUCGAGUGUGUUGUGAUUCUUUCAUUCUAGAAAGGUUCAUGCUCGCCGAUGUCGACCAAGGAGUGCUACCUGGUUGAUCCUGCCAGUAGUCAUAUGCUUGUCUCAAAGAUUAAGCCAUGCAUGUGUAAGUAUGAACUAAUUCAGACUGUGAAAC